UUUCCUCUGCCCUCCCACUCCGCCCGUGGUCUGCUCUGCUUCCCCAAACACCAUUCCUCCAUAGCUGCCUCUGCUAAAGCAACGAUGGACCCAAACCCUGAGCACCUGAGACCUGUGGCUUUUUACCUGCAGUGACCUUCCCUGACUCGGUGUUUACCUUCAGAGAAAGGGAACAUUUGCUGCCUAGUGGAGCUCAGCUACAGCUUUUCAGUCAGCAAUCAAAACACUCGAAAGCUAAGAGCAGCAUUUGAAUUUAAAAAUCAUAAUUACAGUGCCCAAGAGGGAGAAGUUGGAAGAGGGCAAUGAACAAAGCAGGGGGUUGGAAGAAAACAAAGAAAGGCAUGAGAGGAAUCUGCGCUUUGAACAGAGAGUCCUGAAUAUCUUGUACUGGCUACUUCAAAUUGGGCACCUGAAAUUAAUAGAUUCUUUGACCUUCAUUUCUCUGUACUCUUGUUCUUUGUUUGUAAAGCAGAAACCACAGUAGAGCCUCACCAAGAAAAAAAAAAAAGAUGCCAUCACAGCAACUGCUCCAGCCAAAGCACUCAGAUGCUGCAGAGAUGAGGAUGAAGAAGGGAAUAAAAAACCCCAACCCUCUAUGGCUUUUCAGCAAGAGCAAAAAGGAUCCAGCAAAACCCAGCAGAAGAUCCAGGCUGUCUUCAGCGGGUGCACUGGACAAAACCUCGUGCUGAUCACUCCAGGGACACCCACUCCUUCCGCUGGCUCCUCACCUACCUGAGCUCUCCAGAAAUGAUGCAGGAUGAGCUGCAAGGCGGCAGCUUGGACAGAAAUCCAGGUGCAGAACAAGGACACUGAAGAUCGUCUCAGUGGAUUGAAACAGCUACUCUCAUGAGUGGUGUAAUUUAUCACAAAUCAGGUAAUAUGGAGGGGGAAAAAUCCAAGGAGUUCACACUGGGUGACGUUCAGUCUGAGAGUGCAGCAGGAAGCCACACUGGAUGUUUUCCUUGUUGGUUUGCACAGGGGAGGGAUGAGACAAUGUGCCCAUCCAGCUGGGAACACCAAGGCAACCACUUCUUGGGUUAAGGAAAGUGGCACUGUGAAGUCUCUGCCAGCAGCCCUUAAAAACACUGUUAUAAACCAGCCAGCUCCAGAGAUCUCCUCCUUCUCCUCGCUCUAGGAAUGCAUCUUCCUUGGUCCAAGCUUAGUUAGAGGUUAGACUGGGAAAGCAGCAGCCUGUCUGGGAGCAAUCACUCCUCCAUUCAAACACGUUAAUGAAUUUCCACCAAAGGGGUUAGCUAUCAAAGUUCUUUUUUACGCUGCUGGAGCAAACCUUCCUGUGACAAAUUCCUGCCCUUAUUCGGGCUCCAGAGCUAUUACAAGUGACUCCUGUGAGAAUCAGAUCCUCCUUGGACCCACCAGCACAGGAACUGCCCUCCUCACUGGUCCAGCAUCCUUCCUCUCCCAUCCCACUCUUUCUUUAGGUCUCUUUCUCCUCACCAGCCUUCCCUAGCGCUUGCCCGUUCCAUGAUUUCAUCCGAGGUGGGUGGUGAGCUCGCUCUCCCCCGCGCAGCCUCUUCCCAGCGGCUCCCGGGAUCCCUGCCAGCUCCUCUCCACCCACGGCCUCUCCCGACGAGCCGAACCGCGCAGCUCCCGCUGCUGCCCGCGCCAAGGCAGCAUCCCACAUCUGCUGCGCUGGCUCGGCCAGGGGCAGGGCAGCCAAGGAGCACCUCACCUAUCCCCCUGCACCAGUGCCUUCCAGGGGGUGGUAUCUCCACCCCUGCAUCCCAGGGGAUCCCCAGCUUCCCUGCCAGGACACGGCGAUGGGGCACUGAAGUGACUCUUGAAUGCUCAAGAAGUGCAGACCCAAGUUUGAGUUUAGAAAACAGCUUUGCGGGUUGAAAACCAAAUGAGAACUGCCUUCCCCCCCACCCCCCUUUUUUUUUUUCUGAGUUACUCUAAGACAUAAAACCUCUGUGUGGAUUUAAGCAUUCCCAGCCUGGCUAAUGCAGGAGCACCAAGGAGUGAAGUCAACUGGUCCCACGGCUUCAGAGAUUGAGGAGCUGAACAUGGCAAAGCAGAUUUCAAUCAAAUUUUGAAUUUGUUAAACCAAAGUGUUAAAACUGAAAACAGAGCACAGGACAGCUUCUCAAACCUCUUGGGUUAUUCCCUCUGCUCUUUUGCCAUGAUUUUAGAAAAUUAUUCUUUUGACUAUUCCUCCUGAUGCCAUUUCUGUGAGUCCAUAAAACCAUUUUCUCCUUGUCAGAGAAUUCCAACGCCGGUGAUUUAUAGGCUUUGCUUGGAAUGCAGCACACAAGUACUUCACUUUUUCAUUCGCCCUUUCUAAACGUUUUUAACGAUCCGCUUCCUCGGAUCUGUUUAUAUUUGGGACAUUAAAAGCUAAGCAACAACUCCAUUAUGAGCAAGAACACCAUAAAAAUUCCACCACUGCCAGGAAACAUCUCAAUACAGUGACAAACGUAGCCACUCUCUCGCCCUGCUGCUCAUCCGUGGGAAGACUGGUUUAUAAAUUAUUCAUGAGUGCCUUAAAAUUUCCAGGCUAAUCUCAACUAAAAAGUGGGGGUUUUUACACCAUUGUUUCGCUCCCAAGUUCUCCAACUGGAAUUUUGAUUUGCAUAGCGAAAUCUGAAAAUUUACUUGCACUGAAUUUCUUUCCUUCAAGUUGUGAUUUCAGUUCUCACUCUGGAAACAUAGUGGAGAAUCUUUGCAUGACAACUUAUUUGGAAGCCUGGAAAUCCUUCAUAAUUCCCAUGAAUUUCCUGAGAAAUUUAAGUUUUCCCAGAUGUGUUUUUUGAGCAGGUUUGGAUCUAUAAGGUUUGUGGCACCUUUCAGCAGGCAAUCCCACCACCCCAAGGCAUUUUUAGUAAUGAUGAACUAUCUGGGAGACUAUCAAGCCAUUCUCUUCCCAGUCUGUUCCACAGUAAGGACAAGCAAGACUGAAGAUUAAAUCAUGGCAAAAUUUAACAGAGAAAAUCACUUUGUGGUCCUCUGGAGGCUAUUAACAGACCAACUCACUCACCUGUGCUCGUGGAUUUUACAGCUGUCAGUCUGUUCUGGGAUUUAAUCCGCAUGGUGGCACUGGAGUAUAUUCCAUGUAAAAUCAUCAAUCAUAAAUAAAUCCCGCUGGGUUUUUAUGCAGUAAUGUUACAGAAGAACAAACAGUCACGAUAUUUGAAGCCACGAAGCUAGAAGAGUUGCCUUAUAUUCCUCUUCAUGUCUGUACUCUGCCAUGCAUUGCUUGGCAAACUGUACCACUGCCGGCUCCUCCACACAGCGCUUUGAUGACCCUUCCCAGCCACUUCAUCCCAGGCUGUGCUGCUCCAAAUGAGGGUCAGUGUCAGGCUUUCCAGGCUGGAAUCCAGCCAGAUAUGUGCAGGGCUUGACAUGCUGAUUGCUUUGGGAAAGUAGAGACCAAAAAAACCUUUCCUUUGUAGCAAUAUGUGAAUAGUUCUUCCCUGUGAGGGAGGUGAGGCCCCAGCACAGGUUGAUCAGAGAAGCUGUGGCUGUCCCUGGAU
Long non-coding RNA from Corvus hawaiiensis (hawaiian crow), 3491 nucleotides. RefSeq lists it as uncharacterized. The transcript has 3 exons. The record is from RefSeq and is a predicted model, not a curated record. Lineage: Eukaryota; Metazoa; Chordata; Aves; Passeriformes; Corvidae.